GACGAACGCUGGCGGCGUGCUUAACACAUGCAAGUCGAACGAAAAGAGGGAAAGAGCUUGCUCUUUCCGGAAUUGAGUGGCAAACGGGUGAGUAACACGUAAACAACCUGCCUUCAGGAUGGGGACAACAGACGGAAACAACUGCUAAUACCGAAUAAGUUCCAAGGGCCGCAUGGCCCAUGGAAGAAAAGGUGGCCUCUACCUGUAAGCUAUCGCCUGAAGAGGGGUUUGCGUCUGAUUAGCUGGUUGGAGGGGUAACGGCCCACCAAGGCGACGAUCAGUAGCCGGUCUGAGAGGAUGAACGGCCACACUGGAACUGAGACACGGUCCCGACUCCUACGGGAGGCAGCAGUGGGGAAUCUUCCGCAAUGGGCGAAAGCCUGACGGAGCAACGCCGCGUGAGUGAUGACGGCCUUCGGGUUGUAAAACUCUGUGAUCCGGGACGAAAAGGCAGAGUGCGAAGAACAAACUGCAUUGACGGUACCGGAAAAGCAAGCCACGGCUAACUACGUG
RNAcentral lists this ribosomal RNA (513 nucleotides) under uncultured bacterium. RNAcentral's name for it is "partial 16S ribosomal RNA". It matches the Rfam family "Bacterial small subunit ribosomal RNA", at positions 28 to 507 of the family's 1533-position model. The record is from RNAcentral.